RNAcentral lists this ribosomal RNA (247 nucleotides) under uncultured bacterium. RNAcentral's name for it is "partial 16S ribosomal RNA". It matches the Rfam family "Bacterial small subunit ribosomal RNA", at positions 57 to 305 of the family's 1533-position model. The record is from RNAcentral.
GCAAGUCGAACGGUGAAAGAGGAGCUUGCUCUCUGAUUCAGCGGCGGACGGGUGAGUAAUGCCUAGGAAUCUGCCUGGUAGUGGGGGACAACGUUUCGAAAGGAACGCUAAUACCGCAUACGUCCUACGGGAGAAAGCAGGGGACCUUCGGGCCUUGCGCUAUCAGAUGAGCCUAGGUCGGAUUAGCUAGUUGGUGAGGUAAUGGCUCACCAAGGCUACGAUCCGUAACUGGUCUGAGAGGAUGAUC